Molecule: long non-coding RNA, 25044 nt
Filed under: Eucalyptus grandis
Lineage: Eukaryota; Viridiplantae; Streptophyta; Magnoliopsida; Myrtales; Myrtaceae
Description: long non-coding RNA (EGRA_LNC003471)
Source: RNAcentral
UCCGAGAAAACCCAACUACUCUGCAUGAGGUUGCAAAACAACGCGAAUUGAGUGGGACGCUGGAAAGUGAGUCGGACGGGAUGUUGAAAAAGCAGAUCUCUCAUGCUAAGUCCAAAGAACUUAGUGGGCAUGACAUAUUUGCACCUCCACCUGAAAUCUUGCCCAGGACGGUGGUUUCACACGCACACACAAUGCAUCAAGAUAUGGGAGAACCUGCACCACGUAAUUUACGCACAUCUGUCAAAGUUUCUAAUGUAAGUGACUUUGUUGUGUUUGUCCUUACUCUUACCUCUGUCUUAAGCAUGAGAAAAUAGUUAUGUGGCAACUGAUACAGCAUGUCAGUUGAAAGUAACCACCUCCCCUCUUCCUUGGUGGCUUUGAACCUGGGUAGUUCUAUAUUCAAUGAAGACAUGCUAUUAUUGGUUGUCACAUUGGGAUAGAAGUCAACCACAUGACGUUUGAUACGUAUUGAAGUUUUUUCUCAUCAAGUAGGCCUAGUAAAAUGCAAUAUUUGAGAAGCUUCGAUGGAAUUAACCAAUGAUUAUCCAUGAUGCUUCUUGCAAGCAUAGCACUAUAUCGAUUCUUUCUCUAAAUCAUUCUUCUGAGGUAUUCUUGGAUCUAGAAUGACCUGACUUUAAUACUUUUACAUGGAUCAGCCUGCUGGAGGACAGAGCAAUAUAAUGUCCACUGAGGAACCUGUGCUGAAGACGGCAAAGAAGAUCUAUGACAAGAAAUUUACUGAACUUUCGGGAAACGACAUCUUCAAGGGCGACGUGCCUCCAUCAUCUGCGGAGAAACCACUAAGUGUGGCGAAACUGCGCGAGAUAAGUGGCAACGACAUUUUUGCUGAUGGUAAGGUAGAAUCUCGGGACUACCUGGGUGGCGUGCGCAAACCGCCUGGUGGUGAGAGCAGCAUCUCAUUGGUUUGAUAAGAUACGGCCUGGACCAACUAUUUCACGUGAUAGUCUUGUGUCUGGAUUUUCUUCUGGUUCUCACUGUGAACAUAUUCUGGUAUUACUCUCCUUUCAUUAAAUUCGUCGAGGGAUACGGCAAACUUCAUUCCAGUAUUUAACAUGAUUGGCUAGAGAUGUGACCGAUGUGCUAAUUGGUGUUAUGUGUUCAUACUUGCGUUUGGUUUAGCGAUUGUCCUAAUUUUCUGCAAGUUCAUCUACUGCAAUGAAUGGUUGCGUUUGUCCGUUCCAUCUUCUUACUCCCUGUGUAGUGUUAAAUCUUGAUUUCAGUACAUUUCAUUGGGAUACAGUGAUUAUCGAUUCCAUUCUGUUUUCAUCCUGUGCUGCCAAGUGAUUUAUGGCAAUUUUUUGUAGUUACAUAUAGGAUGUGGAACAUUCUCUUGUUAAAAUCCACGUCAAGGGAAAUUGAGUAUGUACGCCCUUUCAUUUAGCAGCCAUUCUCCACCUCGAGAUCGCUGGGCCAACCACCUAAGGUCUUAAUUCAAUAAGAUGUUAUCAAUGCUUGAUUGAUGCAUUCUGCUAAAAUUUGACAGCUACAGCAAACAAAUCAUUGCUGAAGUAUCAUUAGGAAUGGUUGUGGUCAAAAUUUACUUGGAUAAUGUGAUAUCAUAACCUUUUUUUGGGGUGGGGUGAGCAGUGUCGGCAAUCUUCUUGGAUGUAAGCAUAGGAGUUCUACAUUUAUGGCGUACUGUCAUAACUUUAUGUUCAUAGAGAUUUAUCCGAAAAAGAUUGAACUGUUGGUUUAAAUCAUGACAAGGGAAUGCUGAAUUUUUGAGAAUGGAGUGAGGGCCAAGCUAUAAGAGGAAAAUCCGAAACACUGGAGGGUUUACAAAUCCUUUUCGAUGAACUAAUAUCUUCAGUUCAUGCCCUUAAUAUCACAUUCAACUUCUGAAACGUGCUCUUACAUUUUUAUAUGGAUUUCCCAUUCUCCGUUCAUCUUACCUUCCUAAUAUAUAGUCUAGACAUCUUACCCUUCCUUGACUGUUCUGUGCACAGUUGAAUCGCCAUUCAUGCAGUACAAUUGUAAUAAUUAUUACUAAUUAAUAAACAAUACCCAUUAUAUUGGUUAAUUAAUAUAAUAUAAUCAUUACAUAAGCAAAUUGUUCUCAUGAUUAAUACUAUCCAAUCACGCAGGGCGCUAAGCUAUUAUGUAUAAUAGCUAUUAGAGUUUCAGCAGUAAUAGGCAUUAUAACGUUAUACUUACUACUGCAAGCUGAUAUUGUAAUGCGUCAAAGAGGAGUAAUGUAAUAAUCGUUGCCACAACCAAAGCGUCCACUUGUGGCUUCUGAAUCUUUGCUUGUCAUGAAUAUAAGCUCACUUUAUAAUAAUACACUCAUCUACGAAUAUAGAAAGUACCACUGGAGAUAUUUAUUCAUUUGCUAGAAGCUAUAGUUCCUCUUGCAAUUUCAUAUUACUGGGUUGUCUCCACCUCUGGACAAUGGCCACACUAGUGAGCGGCCGGAUGAGCCGAUAACACCUGAGAAACCAUCUUCAUGGAUGGCCUGAGUUGCGGAUUGGUGGAUAAACAAGCAAUUGCGAGCUUGAAGAUGACUAGAAGUUCAUCCUCAGUGCUUGGCAUUGGAGCUGGUAGGCGUGGAUCCAGCAUAUCUUUCAGGACUGUCACAAUCUCCUUAUCCGAUUCAGCUAAUAGGGAUGAGAUGGUUUCGCCUGGAUGUUUUCCAUGGAACACCUGUAUUGCCAUGACCCCAAAGCUGUACACGUCGCAUUUCUCAGUCACUCUCAUCGUGUAGGCAAGCUCUGCACAUAAGAAGAAAAUGCAUUAUUACUGGCAGAUUAUUACUUUUUAAGCUCACCAUAGAGGACUAGUAGAUAUCCAUGGAGUUACCUGGUGCAAUAUAUCCAUAUGUCCCAGCAACAGUGCUCCAAUUCGACGUGUCCAGCUUGAGAAGCUUGGCUGUGCCAAAGUCAGAAACAUGGGCCUCAUACUCAGAAUCAAGCAAGAUGUUGUUGCUUGAUAUGUCUCGGUGAACAAUGGGAGGCACACAGUCAUGGUGCAUGUAGGACAGAGCAUGAGCUAUGCCUCUCACAAUAUUUGCCCUCCUAUCCCAACCCAACUCUUUUGCUUCUCCAUCAUCGCUCAGGGUUGCAGACAGGUUUCCUCUUUCCAGAUACUCAUACACCAAGAACGAGUGUUGGGGAUGUGAGCAGAAGCCACGGAGUCUCACGAUGUUACGGUGUCGUAUUUCUGUCAAUGCCCGUAUCUCAUUCUGAAACUCCUUCUGAUUCGUUUGCCCGCUAUCAGACAUCUGAUGAAGCUUCUUCACAGCCACCACAUCGCCUGAUCUUAGCUUUGCUCUGUAGACUCUUCCAUAUCCUCCACAUCCAAUGCAGUAUCUCUCGUUAAAAUCCUCAGUCGCUGCAAUGAUUUCUUCGUGCAAUAUCCUUCCAUUGUAAGUAGAUAUAGAAAACAUUUUCUCUCUCUCCUGUGCUUGCUCCACUGUCGGCGGUCCUUUCUUCUAUGCAAAAUGUAGUAUACUCCGACGAAAGAAAGCAGGAGAAAUGCUCCAAGUACGAGGAAAACAAUGAGAAACACUUUCUUAACAGUGUUGGAUUUUUUCUUCUGCGGCUCCGAUUGACUACAAGGCUGAAGUCCAUCAACAUUUCCACAUAAUCCAGCGUUGCCUUGUAAUGCUUCUGUUGGAGCAUCUUGGAAUGCCGUGGUGUUUGGAACCGGACCCUGAAACUCAUUGUAGGAUAUGUCAACCGUGGCCAAACCUGGCAUAUCCUCAAAAAUUGCGUAUAUAGGGCCCGAAAGAUUGUUGUGUGAGAGGUCAAGUUUCACUAGACUUUGCAGAUUGCUGAAUUGUGCAGGAAUCUUGCCGAUUAAUGAAUUAUUGUUCAAGUCUAGCUCGGAUAAGUGAAUCAGCAUCCUGAUCUGGCCAGGAAUUUCUUGGCUUAACCGGUUGUUGCUCAGAUCCAAGUGGAAUAAGUCUGCCAACUGCCCGAUACUCUCAGGGAUAGACGAGUUUAAUCUAUUCCUGGACAAAUCCAUCAUUUGAAGACCAGAUAGGGACGCGAUCUUCGGACUUAUACUGCCAGAAAGUUGAUUCCUGCUCAAGUUCAACCUCACCAAAUAGGUCAAUUUCCCGAGUUCCUUUGGAAUCUCGCCAACUAAACCAUUGGAAGAAAGAUCGAGUCCUUGUAGUUCAGUUGCGUUUCCGAUCUCAGGAGGCAAGCUACCAGUGAUGUUGUUCCCAGCAAUUCGUAGAGUCCGCAGACGCUGACAACUUCCCCAGUUGGCCGAGAUUUCUCCAUAGAACUUGUUGAAACUUAAAUCUAUAAAGUCCAAGUUCGGGUAGAUGCCAAAACUGUCGGAUAUGUUUCCAGUGAGUUGAUUCUCCUCGAGGCGUACCCUGAGUAAGCUUGUGCAAUUUCUCAAGCUUUUGGGAAUGAAACCUGUGAGGUUGUUGCCACCCAAGGUGAGAUUGCGAAGUGAUCCACCUCGGCACAAGUUAUCUGGUAUGAAGCCAGUGAAUUGGUUCGUAUCUAAUUGUAGCACCACCAAGCUCAUCAAAUCCCCCAGGAAUCUAGGAAUGGAUCCGGAAAGUUGGUUCUCGCGGAGGAAUAAAUAUUUCAGUUUAGUCAUGUUGCCUAGAGAAGAAGGAAAAGGGCCACUGAGCUGAUUCAUACUCAGCUCCAAAUCGAUCAUAGCUCGAAGGUUUCCCAACUCAUCAGGAAUGUCAUCAGAAAGCAUGUUGCCAUACAGAUAAAGAAGGGUAAGCUCUGUCAAAUUGCCUAAUGUCGAGGGAAUUGAACCGGUAAGAUUAUUGUAGUGUAGGGCGAGUCGACGAAGAAGUUUCAAGUUCCCCAGCUCCGGUGGGAUAGAACCAGUAAGUUCAUUAUCAUAUAUGUGGAGUUGGGUUAGUUUCGUCAAUUUCCCAAAUGUGGAAGGAAUUGGCCCCGUUAGGAAGUUGAUAUCCAUGUAAAUCUCCUCCAAGUUUGUCAAAUUCCCCAUCUCAAGAGGAAUAGGACCAGAAAAUGAACUGUUAUAGAUGUAAAGUCUAGAGAGGCUGCUCAAGUUGCCCAAGGAAGAAGGAAGAGAUCCAUUCAACUGGUUUGAGUACAAGGCAAGCUCGUUUAACAAACGCAACUGACCUAUUUCAUCAGGGAUAGAGCCAUUCAACUCGUUAGAGGGCAAGUGUAACACCUCAAGCUUCAUGAGAUUGCCAAUCUCCCGUGGUAUUUUCCCGGAUAAUUGAUUAUAGGAGAAGUCAAGGUAGGUGAGAUUGGUCAAAAGACCGACUUGAGGUGGAAUACCGCCGAAGAGUUCAUUUAUGUACAUGUCUAUAUAGGUAAGAUACGGCAAAGACGAGAAUGGGAACUCAUCGAGUGUACCUUUGAUGUUCGAAUUGGUGAGAUUGAUUCCAAUCACGCUUCUGGCUAGGUUACACAAGAUGCCGUGCCAACCGCACGGGCUCGACGCUGUUGCAUUGGAGCCGGUAGCAUUUUGAGGAGGGAGAGUCCAUGAAGAUAGAGAAGAGGUGGAUAGGUUUUGGUUUAGAAGGCUUGAUUUCCAUUUGAGAAGGGCUUGUGCUUCUAGUGUGGAGGCAUAAGCAGGAAUUGCACGUUGUGGAAUGAUGACCAAAAGUGCUGUGAAAAGGGCAAAAGAGGCUAGAAGAUUCACUGGUGUCUCCAAUCCUGGUGAGCCCAUGGUUUCUUUCGUUUGUUCUGGAGGUUGAUGAUCAACCAUGAGGCAUAUAUGUAAAGCUUGGUUACUCUGUGUCUGUCAUUCUCCAAUUCCAUUCAAAGAAGGCCAAUUUUCAAAGAUCCUAAAUUUCCUGCUUGCUCAACGGUGCUGAUUGUGAUGGUUCAGAUGUUAACAAUCUGGCCAAUGAGUGAAAACGAGAAAUAGUCUAACCGCGUGUAGAGUUUCAUGUGGUUGGAACAAUGCGUUUGACUCAAAGCUUCCUUGACUCUGUUCUCUUUACUCGGUGCUAUCUCUGGUUUUUCUUGACGUGGGAGUGCCAACAGCCAGAUACUGCUAUUUUAAAGAUGAUAAUGCGUUCGUCAGCUAUCAUCAAUAGGGAAGAAAAUGAAGCCAGUCACUAUCGUUUUGCUCAGACUUUGUGACAGACAGGAAAUUUGACUGAGUAUUUACUCGAUAAAUUAAAUAAAUCUUUUUAAUACCAAGUGGAUCUGCGCUUUGGAUGUUGUAUAUGGCCUAAUUCUUCCUUUCUGGAAGCACUUAUGAUGGAAUUACCUUCCAAGCGCUCUACUGGGAGAGUUUGUAGAUGAAGAGUGGGACACAGAAUAAAGGACCUUCACGUUUAGUUUCUUUUUGAGCCUUUUUAUGGUUUUAACCCCUUUGCUCUUUCCUUCUAGAGGAACGGCGAUGUUUCCUUGUAGCUUCUCGCUGAAUCUGAUUGAUGCUUUGAAUAGUUUAGGUACCUCUUUUACUAUGUGAAUUUCGACUAGAUUUGCUCUUUUAGAAGAGAAGCAGGACAAAAUGUACUUGUGUGAACCUUCUAACUGUACUUUGUUCAGGCAAUAUCUAGAAACAUUCGCAUCAAAGGGAAAAUGAAACGAACAGUAAGAGACUUCUGCUAUUUUCGCCUUAACAUGCGCUCUUAAGAUCGAAAAUCGAGUUUCUGGUCUCUAUAUGACACAACGUUAUUUAUGUAAGUGGGAAACUACCAUGGAAUACAUGGAUUCUAAGUCUUAAAUCACCCUAAACUUUUAUUUCCAUGUAAAUCCACAGUUUAAUAACUCCUUUACUGAAUCUUGCAGUUCAAAUUUACAUUACUCCUGGCCUAAUUCCUAAAAUUACUCUAAUUAGAUGAACAACGAGUUCGAUUAUUUACCAAAUGUUGUAAAACGAAGCCAAUCCAGCUUGGCGAGUUCACAGUGGUGUGUAGACGCAAGCUUUUCUCUCCUCUCUUCCUUGCUAUUAUUGUCAUUGUUUAUGUUUGUUUUUCGCUUUUACACUUCACAUGCAUCUAAUGAAGGAGAAAAGAGUGCAGAUUACAUCGGCCAAUGCAUGGUAGGAUAAUGUAGGUUGAGCUUUUAUUUGUUAAUUCAUUUAUCUUAGAUUUCGCUCUUACAGAUGUUAUAUAUGUGCUUGUUCAACUUUUUUAUUCUGAACUACAAAAGUAUUGGAGAUGUCGAACCUAUAUGCACACAACCAAUAGGCAAAGCCAUAGUAAUAUAUAGAGAUUUCAUUGUGUAUUUAUUACUAAAUACGGAUUCAGUGAUCAGUCGCUGUUUUUGUAAUUAAUUUUUGAGCGAGUUUUGAGGAUAUAUUUUGUUAUCUGGAGCUUAUUUUGUUUUGAAGCUGUCUACGAGUUGUCUUGAUUUGCAGUUGGACUAAAUUAUUUUUCUCUUAUAUUUACGUGGGAAUGAAUGAAAUGUUAUCUUGACCAAAAAAAAAAAAGGGGUAAGAAAGAAGAAUGGGCAAUAGCACCUACGGCUGGGUUUGUGGUGGCGGCCUAGUUUGCCCCGAGUUUACCCCGCCGGCUGCCGGCUGUAUGGGGGGUUUCCGGGUCAUCAAAAUAAAAAAUAAAAAGGGCAAUAACAAACUUAGUUAUAGUCACGGUCACCCUUCAAGUCUGUAUUUUUUACUUGGGGAACGACCCCAUCCCUUCAUAAAAUAAGGGACGAAGCUUUUAAUUAACACAAACCAUUUUCAGAAAUGUAUUAGUCGUAUAAAACCUGACAUUAACGAAAAUAAUCAUAAGGUCCAACGUAUCAUGAAUGUACCCAGCUGAAUUUCCUUCAGAGUCGGUCUAAUAAGCUCAAUAAAAAUAGCAAGAUAGAUCCUAAAUUGAAUCCAUCACUCUCCUCUAUUCUUGAAAUCUGAAAUGGCAAUAAAAGGGGGCGAGCAAAACCCCGGCUCAGUAAGUGAUAAUCACCACUUCCGUGAAAUCAAGUAACGAAGGAUGCGGUUGUACAAUAACAUGCAUAUGCAGGAAUUGCACCUUGUGAAGUGACUGCUAGCAUUGCGAGAAGGGCAACGGGAGUCGGUAGCCAGAAGACGUACCCCUUCCUCUAAAACUUUUUGCCAGUCCUUGAUUUUCUGGUGUGGUUCUGGAGCAUGAUGAUCAACAAAGGGUUGCCUGCUCUGUUUCUGCCGUUGUUCUUUACUCCAUUCAUAAAGGGCCAGCUUUCAAAGAUCUCCCAUUUCAGGAUUUUGAAAGCUUCUGAUCAUGAAGUUUCAGCUAUUGACAAACUGUAUUUUGUUUAUACAGAGCCCCGUGUAUGCUGAAGUAAGUGGUUGACUUCACUCCACCUCGCUAAUUUUUUUUUACCAAUGGGGGACAUUCCUUUGCUUGCUAAAAUACCGACCUUUGACAACUGGAAUGCGUGCAUCACCGGGCAAUAAUUAAUGAGAAAAACAUACGUUGACUUGGAUCGGUCUUCUUUGGCGACUUGUUGACUUGGAUCGGUCCCCAUGUCGGAAUUUGGUCCCCAUCGUUGGGCGAAAUCCAGAGAAUUUGAUAGAGAAGUCGUUGAGGAGAGUGAUAUUCCUAACUUGUUUCACACAUUAUGCAAUUCUAAGCACGCAAAAGGGAAGUCUUCUCAUCCGGCAUUAAUGAAGCCAAAUCCUGCCUCGGUUUUGACCCCGUUCUUGCAGAAACGAUAGCUGAUAAUAAAGCUAAUGAGUUUGGAUCACACCCACUUGCAAACUCACAUCAAUCUAAAGGAAAAUUGAAGAAGAGAAAUCCAAAUUGUCUAUGGCCUGCUUGUUCCAACCUUUUCUGAUAAAUGACAAGGUGGCUGUGGAGACCCGCAUUUAUCGAUAUUUCUCGAUUAUCAAGUUCAUCAUCAUUGCCGGUCUCUUUGGGCCUACGUAGAAAAGCCGAUCCUGAAGUGGCUGCUCAAGAGGCUGUUCAACCGGGAGUUCCCGGGGUGGGCGUCCUGAAUAUUUCAUUGUCAGAGAAGGUGAUCGUUGGCGAAUAACUUCAAUCUAGCUUCUGCUGGAGGCGAUGAGUGCCAGCGUGAGGAUGUGAAAUCGUAGAAUGCAGAGCACGCAGUUUAAAGUUCGUUGAUGGGGAGGGUGCAAAACUAAAUCACGCAGUUCGUAGUUUUGCAAAACUGUAGACACUUCUCGAAUAUCUUUACAUUUUCAUGAUUUCCUAAAUUGUUCAAAUUGUACCACUCUUGUGCAAGUUCGCUGGUGAGGCUGUUGUCAAGGAGGUCAUGCAGAGUGAAGGAGGAGGCGUAAGCAAGAUGAAAAGAAACACAAAAUGGAAAAAGAAAAAAAAAAGAAAGAAAAAGAAAAAAAGCAAAGUCCUUAGAGGAAAGAUUUGGUUGACUUGUAGGUUGAAGCCUUCAUUUGAGAUGGUGCCCACUUUAAGUUGUUUCAUAAAACGGUUUCACUUCAAGUUCUUAUUUGAAAUUUACUAUUAUUUUAUUAUACUUGAAAGUAGAUGAAUAUUUGCAAUUAAAGUAUGUUUACUUAAAGGAAAUCUAAUAUGAAAAUUAAUUUUCAACUUUCUGGUAUUUAUAUGACAAAAAAACUAAUCGAAUUGUGGAUAAAGUUUUUCAUGGAGUGAAACCUAACUAUUUGACUUGAAAAUACUUUUUAUAAAGAAUAUUUUUUUACCAUUAAAUUUUCAGUACAAUAAAAGGACCCUCGUUUCAAAUAAUUUACCUUUUUUGAGCUCCGUAAGUGGGCUCAAUUAUUGAGAAAGAGCGCACUGUGAUUAUUUUGGAAUUUUGAAGUGCUCGAUGGCUCCAAUAGAAAUAGUCCCGCAAGUUAGACGGGGCAAAUAAUUUUGGUGUUGGAUCAUGAAUAUGCAUAACUUGGAUUAUAUCGAAGUUUAAUGACCAUCGCUGGAUCUACAUAUAAGAACUAAUUAUCCUUUUAUUUAUUAGCUUCACGAUUCAUUUUCAUUUUAGUUUAUUGUAUUUAUUAUUAUUGUAAUAUAUCAAAUUAAUGACUAACAUUGCCUUGCUUUGAUUAAAAAAUCUAAUGACCGUAGGAAAGUGAUGGACAUUUGUUUUUAAUUGGUUAUUUCUUUCCCUAUACUAUUUUCCAUGAGCAAGGGAAAAAUUAUUGAAAAUCAAAACGUAAUUGGAUUGAGUAUGAGUUAAAUCCAGUGGAGUUUUGUAUAGGUUGCUAAAUUUGUAUUAUGUAAAGAUGGAACUGUUUGAGUUAAAUGGUUCAAUUUAAAUCGAACCCAAUCUGACCAAUAAAGGUUGUACGAUCAUCAAUUUUACUAGAAAAGCACAAGAUAAAUUUAAGAGACUAUCAAUCCUAAAAGGGCAGAGAGAAGCAUAAUCAAUACUUAAUCACAAUAGACAUCGGGUUGGAUUCCGCAAGUAUCCGAUGCCAUUCAAGAUAAAUUAAAUUUGGCUAAAUAUGCUUUAUACUGCAUUCUAAAAUCUUUGUUUCUCUUACUGUGAAUUCUGAAUAGUUUAUAAUGUGCACCGGUCCUUUUUAAUAAAUGAACUCGAUUUACACGUUCAGUGUUAGGCAAUGAGUUCUUACUAUUAGUGGCCACCAGCAAUUUAUGACUAUGCAGAAAAUGCAAAAUUUUAUUUUUUUACUGAUAAGUGCUGUGAAAAUGUUUGGGCAUAUCUAUAUGUAUAUAUUCCCAUUCAUUCAUUCAUGGUUCCUUUCUUUCCUUCCUUUUUUCUGUACAUUGAAGCCACUUUUUGCAACUUCUAGGAAACCGUGUUCGGGUUACAAAAUGAAGGAGAUAACUGGAAGUGGUAUCUUUUCGGAUAGUGGAGAAACUGAUCCGUCAGAGUCUGGCAAUAUUACUCCUAACAACAGAACAGGAAUCCGAAUGUACCAGGUACUUCUGUUUUCGGUUUUCCUUUUUUGGCCUGGGACAAAUGCACCAGGUCCUAAUUCCUGCAUAGAUAAUCUUAAAUCUCCAUGGUGAUUCCUAAUUUACUUUGACUUCCUCUGUAAAACAUUCCUAGCAAGCCCUUGCUGGAAUCAGUCACAUCUCCUUUGGUGAGGAAGAGAGCGUUUCUCCGAGAAAACCAACUACUGUGCCUGAGGUUGCAAAACAACGCGAUUUGAGUGGGACGCUGGAAAGUGAGUCAGACGGGAUGUUGAAAAAGCAGAUCUCUCAUGCCAAGUCCAAAGAACUAAGUGGGCAUGACAUAUUUGCACCUCCACCUGAAAUCUUGCCCAGGACGGUGGCUUCACACUCACACACAAUGCAUCAAGACACGGGAGAACCUGCACCACGUGAUUUGCGCACAUCUGCCAAAGUUUCUAAUUUAAGUGACUUUGUUGUGUUUGUCCCUACUCUUCCCUCUGUCUUAAGCAUGAGAAAAUAGUUAUGUGGCAACUGAUGCAGCAUGUCGGUUGAAAGUAACCACCUCCCCUCUUCCUUAGUGGCUUUGAACCUGGGUAGUUCUAUAUUCAAUGAAGACAUGCUAUUAUUGGUUGUCGCAUUGGGAUAGAAGUCAACCACAUGACGUUUGAUAAGUAUUGAAGUUUUUUCUCAUUAAGUAGGGCUAGUAAAAUGCAAUAUUUGAGAAGCUUCAAUGGAAUUAACCAAUGAUUAUCCAUGAUGCUUCUUGCAAGCAUAGCACUAUAUUGAUUCUUUCUCUAAAUCAUUCUUCUGAGGUAUUCUUGGAUCUAGAAUGACCUGACUUUAAUACUUUUACAUGGAUCAGCCUGCUGGAGGACAGAGCAAUAUAAUGUCCACUGAGGAACCUGUGCUGUAGACAGCAAAGAAGAUCUAUGACAAGAAAUAUACUGAACUUUCGGGAAACGACAUCUUCAAGGGCGACGUGCCUCCAUCAUCUGCAGAGAAACCACUAAAUGUGGCGAAAAUGCGAGAGAUAAGUGGCAACGACAUUUUUGCUGAUGGUAAGGUAGAAUCUCGGGACUACCUGGGUGGCGUGCGCAAACCGCCUGGUGGUGAGACCAGCAUAUCAUUGGUUUGAUAAGAUACGGCCUGGACCAACUAUUUCACGUGAUAGUCUUGUGUCUGGAUUUUCUUCUGGUUCUCACUGUGAACAUAUUCUGGUAUUACUCUACUUUCAUUAAAUUCGUCGAGGGAUACGGCAAACUUCAUUCCAGUAUUUAACAUGAUUGGCUAGAGAUGUGACCGAUGUGCUAAUUGGUGUUAUGUGUUCAUACUUGCGUUUGGUUUAGUGAUUGUCCUAAUUUUCUGCAAGUUCAUCUACUGCAAUGAAUGGUUGUGUUUGUCCCUUCCAUCUUCUUACUCCCUGUGUAGUGUUAAAUCUUGAUUUCAAUACAUUUCAUUGGGAUACAGUGAUUAUCGAUUUCAUUCUGUUUUCAUCCUGUGCUGCUAAGUGAUUUAUGGCAAUUUUUGUAGUUACAUAUAGGAUGUGGAACAUUCUCUUGUUAAAAUCCACGUCAAGGGAAAUUGAGUAUGUACUCCCUUUCAUUUAGCAGCCAUUCUCCACCUCGAGAUCGCUGGGCCAACCACCUAAGGUCUUAAUUCUAUAAGAUGUUAUCAAUGCUUGAUUGAUGCAUUCUGCUAAAAUUUGACAGCUACAGCAAACAAAUCAUUGCUGAAGUAUCAUUAGGAAUGGUUGUGGUCAAAAUUUACAUGGAUAAUGUGAUAUCAUAACCUUUUUCUUGGGGUGGGGUGAGCAGUGCCGGCAAUCUCCUUGGACAUAAGCAUAGGAGUUCUACAUUUACGGCGUACUGUCAUAACUUUCUGUUCAUAGAGAUUUAUCCGAAAAAGAUUGAACUGUUUGUUUAAAUCAUGACAAGGGAAUGCUGAAUUUCUGAGAAUGGAGUGAGGGCCAAGCAAUAAGAGAAAAUCCGAAACACUGGAGGGUUUACAAAUCCUUUUCGAUGAACUAAUAUCUUCAGUUCAUGCCCUCAAUAUCACAUUCAACUUCUGAAACGUGCUCUUACAUUUUUAUAUGGAUUUCCCAUUCUCCGUUCAUCUUACCUUCCUUUUAUAUAAUCUAGAUAUCUUACCCUUCCUUGACUGUUAUGUGCACUGUUGAAUCGCCAUUCAUGUAGUACAAUGUAAUAAUUAUUACUAAUUAAUAAAACUACAAUAUCCAUUAUUGGUUAAUUAAUAUAACAUAAUCAUUACAUAAGCAAAUUGUUAUCAUGAUAAAUACUAUCCAAUCACGCAGGGCGUUAAGCUAUUAUGCAUAAUAGCUAUUAGAGUUUCAGCAGUAAUAGAUAUUAUAACGUUAUACUUACUACUGCAAGCAGAUAUUGUAAUGCGACAAAGAGGAGUAAUGUAAUAAUCGUUGCCACAACCAAAGCGUCCUCUUGUGGCUUCUGAAUCUUUGCUUGUCAUGUAUAUAAGCUCACUUUAUCAUAAUACACUCAUCUACGAAUAUAGAAAGUACCACUGGAGAUAUUUAUUCAAUUGCUAGAAGCUAUAGUUCCUCUUGCAAUUUCAUAUUACUGGGUUGUCUCCACCUCUGGACAAUGGCCACACUAGUGAGCGGCCGGAUGAGCCGAUAACACCUGAGAAACCAUCUUCAUGGAUGGCCUGAGUUGCGGAUUGGUGGAUAAACAAGCAAUUGCGAGCUUGAAGAUGACUAGAAGUUCAUCCUCAGUGCUUGGCAUUGGAGUUGGUAGGCGUGGAUCCAGCAUAUCUUUCAGGACUGUCACAAUCUCCUUAUCCGAUUCAACAAAAAGGGAUGAGAUGGUUUCGCCUGGAUGUUUUCCAUGGAUCACCUGUAUUGCCACGACCCCGAAGCUGUACACGUCGCAUUUCUCAGUCACCCUCAUCAUGUAGGCAAGCUCUAUGCAUAAGAAGAAAAUGCAUCAUUACUAGCAGAUUAUUACUUUUUAAGCUCACCAUAGAGGACUAGUAGAUAUCCAUGGAGUUACCUGGUGCAAUAUAUCCAUAUGUCCCAGCAACAGCGCUCCAAUUUGACGUGUCCAGCUUGAGAAGCUUGGCUGUGCCGAAGUCAGAAACAUGGGCCUCAUACUCAGAAUCAAGCAAGAUGUUGUUGCUUGAUAUGUCUCGGUGAACAAUGGGAGGCACACAGUCAUGGUGCAUGUAGGACAGAGCAUGAGUUAUGCCUCUCACAAUAUUUGCCCUCCUAUCCCAACCCAACUCUUUUGCUUCUCCGUCAUCGCUCAGGGUUGCAGACAGGUUUCCUCUUUCCAGAUACUCAUACACCAAGAAAGAGUGUUGGGGAUGUGAGCAGAAGCCAAGGAGUCCCACGAUGUUACGGUGUCGUAUUUCUGUCAAUGCCCGUAUCUUAUUUUGAAACUCCUUCUGAUUCGUUUGCCCGCUAUCAGACAUCUGAUGAAGCUUCUUCACAGCCACCACAUCACCUGAUCUUAGCUUUGCUCUGUAGACCCUUCCAUAUCCUCCACAUCCAAUGCAGUAUCUCUCGUUAAAAUCCUCAGUCGCUGCAAUGAUUUCCUCGUGCAAUAUCCUUCCAUCGUAAGUAGAUAUAGAAAACAUUUUCUCUCUCUCCUGUGCUUGCUCCACUUGUCGGCGGUCCUUUCUUCUAUGCAAAAUGUAGUAUACUCCGACGAAAGAAAGCAGGAGAAAUGCUCCAAGUACGAGGAAGACAAUGAGAAACACUUUCUUAACAGUGUUGGAUUUUUUCUUCUGCGGCUCCGAUUGACUACAAGGCUGAAGUCCAUCAACAUUUCCACAUAAUCCAGCGUUGCCUUGUAAUGCUUCUGUUGGAGCAUCUUGGAACACCGUGGUGUUUGGAACCGGACCCUGAAACUCAUUGUAGGAUAUGUCAACCGUGGCCAAACCUGGCAUAUCCUCAAAAAUUGCAUAUAUUGGGCCCGAAAGAUUGUUGUGUGAGAGGUCAAGUUUCACUAGACUUUGCAGAUUGCUGAAUUGUGCAGGAAUCUCACCGAUCAAUGAAUUAUUGUUCAAGUCUAGCUCGGAUAAGUGAGUCAGCAUCCCGAUCUGGCUAGGAAUUUCUUCGCUUAAUCGGUUGUUGCUCAAAUCCAAGAGGACUAAGUCUGCCAACUGCCCGAUACUCUCUGGGAUAGUCAUGCUUAAUCUAUUCCUGGACAAAUCCAUCAUUUGAAGACCAGAUAGGGAUGCGAUCUUCGGACUUAUACUGCCAGAAAGUUGAUUCCUGCUCAAGUUCAACCUCACCAAAUAGGUCAAUUUCCCGAGUUCCUUUGGAAUCUCGCCAACUAAACCAUUGGAAGAAAGAUCGAGUCCUUGUAGUUCAGUUGCGUUUCCGAUCUCAGGAGGCAAGCUGCCAGUGAUGUUGUUCCCAGCAAUUCGUAGAGGCCCAUGUUUCGCCUGGAUGUUUUCCAUGGAUCACCUGUAUUGCCACGACCCCAAAUCUGUACACGUCGCAUUUCUCAGUCACCCUCAUCGUGUAGGCAAGCUCUACGCAUAAGAAGAAAAUGCAUCAUUACUAGCAGAUUAUUACUUUUUAAGCUCACCAUAGAGGACUAGUAGAUAUCCAUGGAGUUACCUGGUGCAACAUAUUCAUAUGUCCCAGCAACAGCACUCCAAUUUGACGUGUGCAGCUUGAGAAGCUGGCUGUGCCGAAGUCAGAAACAUGGGCCUCAUACUCAGAAUCAAGCAAGAUGUUGUUGCUGAUAUGUCUCGGUGAACAAUGGGAGGCACACAGUCAUGGUGCAUGUAGGACAGAGCAUGAGCUAUGCCUCUCACAAUAUUUGCCCUCCUAUCCCAACCCAACUCUUUUGCUUCUCCGUCAUCGCUCAGGGUUGCAGACAGGUUUCCUCUUUCCAGAUACUCAUACACCAAGAACGAGUGUUGGGGAUGUGAGCAGAAGCCACGGAGUCUCACGAUGUUACGAUGUCAUAUUUCUGUCAAUGCCCUUAUUUCAUUCUGAAACUCCUUCUGAUUUGUUUGCCCGCUAUCAGACAUCUGAUGAAGCUUCUUCACAGCCACCACAUCGCCUGAUCUUAGCUUUGCUCUGUAGACUCUUCCAUAUCCUCCACAUCCAAUGCAGUAUCUCUCGUUAAAAUCCUCAGUCGCCGCAAUGAUUUCCUCGUGCAAUAUCCUUCCAUCGUAAGUAGAUAUAGAAAACAUUUUCUCUCUCUCCUGUGCUUGCUCCACUUGUCGGUGGUCCUUUCUUCUAUGCAAAAUGUAGUAUACUCCGACGAAAGAAAGCAGGAGAAAUGCUCCAAGUACGAGGAAGACAAUGAGAAACACUUUCUUAACAGUGUUGGAUUUUUUCUUCUGCAGCUCCGAUUGACUACAAGGCUGAAGUCCAUCAACAUUUCCAAAUAAUCCAGCGUUGCCUNNNNNNNNNNNNNNNNNNNNNNNNNNNNNNNNNNNNNNNNNNNNNNNNNNNNNNNNNNNNNNNNNNNNNNNNNNNNNNNNNNNNNNNNNNNNNNNNNNNNNNNNNNNNNNNNNNNNNNNNNNNNNNNNNNNNNNNNNNNNNNNNNNNNNNNNNNNNNNNNNNNNNNNNNNNNNNNNNNNNNNNNNNNNNNNNNNNNNNNNNNNNNNNNNNNNNNNNNNNNNNNNNNNNNNNNNNNNNNNNNNNNNNNNNNNNNNNNNNNNNNNNNNNNNNNNNAACCGGUUGUUGCUCAGAUCCAAGUGGAAUAAGUCUGCCAACUGCCCGAUACUCUCAGGGAUAGACGAGUUUAAUCUAUUCCUGGACAAAUCCAGUCUUUGAAGACCAGAUAGUGAUGCGAUCUCUGGAUUUAUACUGCCAGAAAGUUGAUUCCUGCUCAAGUUCAACCUCACCAAAGAGGUCAAUUUCCUGAGUUCUUUUGGAAUCUCGCCUAUUAAACCGUUGGAAGAAAGAUCGAGUCCCUGUAGUUUAGUCACAUUUCCGAUCUCAGAAGGCAAGCUACCGGUGAUGUUGUUCCCAGCAAUUCGUAGAUCCCUCAAACGCCGACAACUGCCCCAGUUGACCGAGAUCUCUCCGUGGAACUUGUUGAAACUCAAAUCCAUAAAGUCCAAGUUCGGGUAGACACCAAAACUGUCGGAUAUGUUUCCAGUGAGUUGGUUCUCCUGGAGGCGUACCCUGAGUAAGCUCGUGCAAUUUCUCAAGCUUCUGGGAAUGAAACCUGUGAGGUUGUUGCCAGCCAUGGUGAGGUUUUGAAGUGAUCCACCUCGGCACAAGUUAUCUGGUAUGAAGCCAGUGAACUGGUUCGUAUCUAAUUGUAGCACCACCAAGUUCAUCAAAUUCCCUAGGAAUCCAGGAAUGGAACCGGAAAGUUGGUUCUCACGGAGGAAUAUAUAUUCCAGGUCAGUCAUGUUGCCCAGAGAAGAAGGAACAGGACCGUUGAGCUGAUUCAUACUCAGAUCUAAAUUGAUCAUAGCUCGGAGGUUUCCCAACUCAUCAGGAAUGUUAUCAGAAAGCAUGUUGCCAUAUAGAUAAAGAAGGGUAAGCUCUGUCAAAUUGCCUAAUGUUGAGGGAAUUGAACCGGUAAGAUUAUUGUAGUGUAGGGCGAGUCGACGAAGAAGUUUCAAGUUUCCCAGCUCCGGUGGGAUAGAACCAAUUAAUUCAUUAUCAUAUACAUGGAGUUGGGUUAGUUUCGUCAAUUUCCCGAAUGUGGGAGGAAUUGGCCCUGUUAGGAAGUUGGUAUCCAUGUAAAUCUCCUCCAAGUUUGUCAAAUUCCCCAUUUCAAUAGGAAUGGGACCAGAAAAUGAAUUGUUAUAGAUGUAAAGUCUAGCGAGGCUACUCAAGUUGCCCAAGGAAGAAGGAAGAUAUCCAUUCAAUUGGUUUGAGUACAAGGCAAGCUCGUUCAACAAACGCAACUGACCUAUUUCAUCAGGGAUAGAGCCAUUCAACUCGUUAGAGAGCAGGUGUAACACCUCAAGCUUCAUGAGAUUGCCAAUCUCCCGUGGUAUUUUCCCAGAUAAUUGAUUAAAGGAGAGGUCAAGGUAAGUGAGAUUGGUCAAAAGACCGACUUGAGGCGGAAUACCACCGAAGAGUUCGUUUAUGUACAUGUCUAUAUAGGUUAGAUAUGGCAAAGACGAGAAUGGGAACUCAUCGAGUGUACCUUUAAUGUUCGAAUUGGUGAGAUUGAUUCCAAUCACACUUCUGGCUGGGUUACACGAGAUGCCGUGCCAACCGCACGGGCUUGACACUGUUGCAUUGGAGCCGGUAGCAUUUUGAGGAGCAAGAGUCCAUGGAGAUAGAGAAGAGGUGGAUAGGUUUUGAUUUAGAAGGCUGGAUUUCCAUUUGAGAAGGGCUUGUGCUUCUAGUGUGGAGGCAUAAACAGGAAUUGCACCAUGUGGAAUGAUGACAAAAAGUGCCAUGAAAAGGGCAAAGGAGGCUGGAAGAUUCACUGUUGUCUCUAAUCCUGGUGAAUCCAUGAUUUCUUUUGUUUGUUCUGGAGGUUGACGAUCAACCAUGAGGCAUAUAUGUAAAGCUUGGUUACUCUGUUUCUGUCAUUCUCCAAGUCCAUUCACAGAAGGCCAAUUUUCAAAGAUCUCCGAUUUCCUGCUUGUUCAAUGGUGCUAAUUGUGAUGAUUCAGAUGUUGACAUUCGGGCCAAUGUGUGAUAACGAGAAGUAGUCUGAUCGAGGGUAGAGUUUCAUAUGGUUGGAACAAGGUAUUUGACUUUGACUCAAAGCUUCCUAAGCUCUGCUCUCUUUAAUUGAUGCUUUCUCUGGUUUUCCUCAACGUGGAGGUGCGUACGGCCAGAUACUGCUAUUUUAAAGAUGAUAAAUCGUUCAUAGCCAGUCAAUAUCGUCUUGCUCAGACUUUGUGGCUGCAGACGCGAAAUUGUCUGAGAGCAUUUACUCGAUAAAUAAAUAAUUGUUUUUUAAUACCAAGUGGAUCUGCUCUCGGAUGUUGUAUACGGCUAGUUCUUCCUUUCUGGAAGCACUGGAAGCACUUAUGACGGAAUUGCCUUCCAAGCAGUCGACUGGGAGAGGUUGAAGUCUACCAUGGAAUACAUGGGUUCUAAGUCUAAAAAACACCCUAAACUUUUAUUUCCAUAUAAACCCACAGUUUAAUCACUCCUUUACUGAAUCUCGCGGUUUAAAAUUUACAUUACUCCAAAUUCAUGGCCUAAUUCCUAAAAUUACUCCGAUUAAUGAACAACGAGUUCAAUUAUUUUUUGAACAUUGUAAGAUGAAGCUACUCCGACUUGGCGAGAUCCUUGCAGCGUGUAGACGCAAUUUUUUCUCUCCUCUCUUCCUUCCUGUUAUUGUCACUGUUUAUGUUUGUUUUUGCUUUUACGCUUCACAUGCAUCUAAUGAAAGGAGAAAAGAGUGCGGAUUACAUCGGCCAACGCAUGGUAAGGUAAUGUAGGCUGAGCUUUUACCAGUUAAUUCGCUUCUCUCAAAUUUUAUUGGAGGACAAGUCUAAAUUUAAAGGUGAUUGGAGAAUCUUCUUGAAGGUUUUGCUCUUAUAAAUGUCACAUCUAUACUUGUUCAACUUUUUUAUUUUGAAUGAAGAAAGUGUUGGGGAUAUCAAAUCUAGGCGUGCACCACCAAAUGGCAAAGCCAUAGUAAAGAUGGAGAUUUUUUGGUGAAAGGUAAUCAUAAUAAGCUAUAACCAAUAUUUACAACAAAAACGACACCAAAACAUACACUCAUAAUGAACAGAGGCAUAAUGAGUGGAAGGGUGCCAAAAGAAGAAGAAGAGGGAAGCUAACAAGGCACAAAAAUGUGGUUGAGCCGCACAACUAUGGCCACAUCCAAAAGAUGGACCAAACAAAAGAAGGCGACCGGUCAGCCAAACAAUGGCAACCCAAGCCAAAAACCAAACAAAACGUUAUCGCCCAAAUGGAAAGGACGAGACAACCGGCAGGAAUCAAGGUCAACACCGAAACAUCAGGAAUGCGAAGCACAAUAGUAGACCCUCCUGCACCACCACUCCAAUUUGGAAAUACUACGGAUGCGCUAGAGUAGAAGAGAAGAUGCAAGGGUCUAUCCCCUAGCUACGUUGAAGUCUCCUGUUUCUUGGGUUAUCUUCAACAUUCGAGAAGGUUAAAGCCUUAUCCUUAACCACUUUUAGUAAAGAUGGAGAUUUCAUUGUAUGUUUAUUACUAAAUAUGGAUUUGGUGAUUAGUUGCUGUUUUUAUAAUUACUUUUUGAGCGUGUUUUGAUGACAUAUUUUGUUAUUUAGAGCUUAUUUUGUUUUGAAGCUGUUUAUGAUUUGUCUUGAUUUGGAGUUGGAUUAAAUUAUUUUUCUCUUGUAUUUAUGUGGGUGGGAAUGAAUGAAAUGUUAUCUUGACCAAAAAGAAAAAAGGUGAGAAAGAAGAACGGGCAAUAGCAAACUUAGUCAUGGUCACCGUCCAGGUCUGUAUAUAUUAUUUGGGGAACAACCCCAUCCCUUCAUAAAAUAAAGGACGAAGCUUUUAAUUAAAAUAAACCAUUUUCAGAAAUGUGUUAGUUGGAUAAUACCUAACAAUAAUGAAAAUAACCAUGAGGCUUAAUUUAUCAUGAAUGUACCUAGCUGGAUUUCCUUCAGGGUCGGUCUAAUGAGCUUAAUAAAAAUAGCAAAAUAGAUCCUAAAUUGAAUCCAUCACUCUCCUCUAUUCUUAAAAUCUGAAACGGUAAUAAAAGGGGCGAGCAAACGGCUCGGGUAAGUGAUAAUCACCACUGCUGUGAAAUCAAGUAACGAACAAUGGAGUUGUACAAUAGCAUGCAUAUGCAGGAACUGCACCUCGUGAAAUGACUGCAAGCAUUGCGAGAAGGGCAACGGGAGCUAGAAGAUGUCCUCCUCCCUUUAAAAGCUUUUUGCCAAUCCUUGAUUUUCUGGUGUGGUUUUGGAGCAUAUAUAAAGCUGCUCUGUCUCUGCCAUUGUUCUCUGAUCCGUUCAGAAAAGGCCAGCUUUCAAAGAUCUUCCAUUUCAGGAUUUUGAACGCUUCUGAUCAUUAAGUUUCAGCUAUUGACAAACCGUCUAUUUCGUUUAUACAGAGCCUCAUGUUUGCUGAAGUAAGUGGUUGACUUGACUCCACCUCACUUAGUUCUUUUUUUUUUUUUUUUUCCAUUCUUAUGGGAAACAUCCAUUUGCUUGCUAAAAUACCGACCUUUGACAACUGGAAUACUUGCAUGACCAGGCAAUAAUUAGUGAGAAGAAUAUACGGAAGAAAAGUAUACGGGAGUGGUUACGUCUCCACUUGGACUUUUAGAACGGGAGUAGUUACGUCUCCACUUGGACUUUUAGAUUGUAGCACCAGUAAUUUGACCAAGAGCAUGGGUUUCCUUUGACUUCUUCAAGACUUGGGCACUCCUAGCAUUUAUGAUUUCAAUUUUUGCUUUUUGCUUAAUUUAAAUCUUGCAAUUCGGCCAUUUUAAUUGUUUUUUUUUUCAAUUCAAAAAUCCCGAAACUGAGAUAUGAAGCACGUUCAAGAAUUAAGAUUGAUUUGACCUGACUAUCGAAGAAGGUUGGGAGAAUAUAACUAUCUCGGUACACCUCAAUUCGGAUAAUUGUUACUUCAUUUUGCCCCCUAUACUAUUCAUUUACAGAGUUUUCCGAAACUUUGAUUUUACAAUGUCAAGUUUUACUUAGAUUGACUGAUGGUGGCAUCAAACAUUGGUCUACUAUAAUUUCUUGUUUCAAGUUCAGAAAACUCUGAGCUCUCAUCCAGAUGAAAUACAUGAGGGAAGCUGUUCCGACAUGUUUUGCAUAAGGUAAUAUAAGUUCACUAUUGUGAAAAACAGAGAAGAUGGUGGCGGUACAAUGUAAAUGAUUUUUACUUUUAUUGACAAUGGAGUGAGGCCGAGAGAAAAUAGAUAGCAUGAUUCAAUUCCCUCAAGAUUUUGGAGGGCAGGAUCUUUUGUCGAAAUUAAAUGGCCUUCCUUUUUUCUUUUUAUUUAUUAUUUCUCGUUAAGGGCUGAAAAAUGAAUGUCCUCUGCCUUAUCACAAUUGAAGUAUAAGGUAUUAGCAGAACAAAACUUGCAUUCUUUCCAAGACAAAGCAUUGUACUAUAAAAUCUCCUCUUGUGACAAAAUUAGGACCCGUGAUCUUCCUAAUUUAAGCACUUUUAAGUUCAAAGCUCUAACGAAAACAAAUUCUGUAUUCCCUCUAGUGCCAUAUUCUUUUUGGAGCAAUCAACAGCUACUGAAUUUCUUAUAAAGACUCAUGCCACAUCAACAUGCAUGUAACACUCGGAAUAGGAGCUGAUUGAACCAUCACAAAACCUCUUGCUAUUUAAUGAAACUAACUCUGUAAAUGGUCAAUACCCUAUUUUUUGCGCACAAAUAGAAUCUCGCAAUGGACGUAUCCCUAUUCCCUAACCUAUUUUUUUUUCCUUUUUCUUUGUAAAAAAUCAUCAAAAAACCUAAAUUAUACCAUUGUGACAUUUAUUCUGAAUUUUUUUAUCAUGAUAUAAAAAAAAUCCAAAUUAUGCUUGUUAUGACACAUUUAUCUAAAAAUUUUCUUAUGACAUGAAAAAAUCCAAGUCAACGACUAUUAGUUUACCGAAGAUUUAGAAAAUGUAUGUUGGAUGUAUUUUCGGUUCCAUCAAGCCUUUGGAGCUUUCUCCAUUCAGUCUGCUUUGGCGACUUUUUGACUUGGAACAGUCCCCAUAUUGGAAUUUGGUCCCAAUCAAUGUGCGAAAUUCAGAGAAAUUGAUAGAGAAGUCGUCGAGGAGAGAGAUCAAAUCCUAACUCGUUUCACACAUUAUGCAAUUUUAAGCAUGCAAAAGGGAAGUCUUCUCACUCGGCAUUAAUGAAGCCAAAUCUUGCCCCGGUUUUGACCCCAUUUUUGCAGAAACGACAGCUGAUAAUCGAGCUAAUGAGUCUGGACCAUGCCCACUUGCAAACUCACAUCAAUCGAAAGAAAAAUUGAAGAAGAGAAAUCAAAAUUGUCCUUGGCCUGCUUGUUCCAGCCUUUUCUGAUAAACGAUAAGGUGGCUGUGAAGGCUCACAUUUAUCAAUAUUUCUCGAUUAUCAAGUUCAUCAUCAUUGCCGGUCUCUUUGGGCCUACUUUAGAAAAGCCGAUCUCGAAAUGGCAGCCCAAGAGGCCUCUUGAAGAUUUCAAUAUCGGAGGAGGCAACUGAUGCUGAAUAAAUUCCAUUCGGCUUCUGCGAAGGCGAUGAAUGCCUGCCUGAGGAUGUGAAAUCGCAGAAUGCAGAGCAUGCAGUUUAAAGUUCGCUGAUGGGGAGGGUGCAACACUGAAUCACGCAGUUCGUAGUUUUGCAAAACUGCAGACACUUCUCGAUAUCUUUCCAUUUUCUUCUUUUCCUAAAUUGUUCAAAUUUUUCCGCUCCUGUGCAAGCUCGCUGGUGAGGCUGUUGUCAAGGAGAUGAUGCAGAGUGAAGGAGGAGGCAUGAACGAGACAAAAAGAAACACAAAAAGGAAAAAGAAAAAAAAAAGAAAAAGAAAAAAAGCAAAGUCCUUAGAGGAGAAUACUCCUAGUGCAAAUAAGAUUCGCUGACUNNNNNNNNNNNNNNNNNNNNNNNNNNNNNNNNNNNNNNNNNNNNNNNNNNNNNNNNNNNNNNNNNNNNNNNNNNNNNNNNNNNNNNNNNNNNNNNNNNNNAAAGGAAAUCUAUUACGAAAAUUAUUUUUCAACUUUCUGGUAUUUAUAUGACAAAAAACUAAUCGAAUUGUGGAUAAAGUUUUUCAUGGAUUGAACCUAACUAUUUGACUUGAAAAUACUUUUCAUAAAGAAUAUUUUUUUAUCAUUAAAUUUUCAGUACAAUAAAGGACCCUCGUUUCAAAUAAUUUACCUUUUUUGAGCUCUGUAAGUGGGCUCAAUUAUUGAGAAAGAGUGCGCUGUGAUUAUUUUGGAAUUUGAAGUGCUCGAUGGCUCCAAUAGAAAUAUUCCCGCAAGUUAGACGGGGCGAAUAAUUUUGGUGUUGGAUCAUGAAUAUGCAUAACUUGGAUCAUAUCGAAGUUUAAUGACCAUCGCUGGAUCUACAUAUAAGAACUAAUUAUCCUUUUAUUUAUUAGCUUCACGAUUCAUUUUCAUUUUAGUUUAUUGUAUUUAUUAUUAUUGUAAUAUAUCAGAUUAAUGAGUACCGUUGCCUUGCUUUGAUUAAAAAAUCUAAUGACCGUAGGAAAGUGAUGGACAUUUGUUUUUAAUUGGUUAUUUCUUUCCCUAUACUAUUUUCCAUGAGCACGGGAAAAAUUAUUGAAAAUCAAAACUUAAUUGGAUUGAGUAUGAGUUAAGUCCAGUGGAGUUUUGUAUAGGUUGCUAAACUUGUAUUAUGUGAAGAUGGAACUGUUUGAGUUAAAUGGUUCCAUUUAAAUUGAACCCAAUCUGACCAACAAUUUGACAAGUCUAUAUAAAGGUUGUACGAUCAUCAAUUUUACUGGAAAAGCACAAGAUAAAUUUAAGAGACUAUCAAUCCUAAAAGGGCAGAGAGAAGCAUAAUCAAUACUUAAUCACAAUAGACAUCGUGUUGGAUUCCGCAAGUAUCCGAUGCCAUUCAAGAUAAAUUAAAUUUGGCUAAAUAUGCUUUAUACUGCAUUCUAAAAUCUUUGUUUCUCUUACUGUGAAUUCUGAAUAGUUUAUAAUGUGCACCGGUCCUUUUUAAUAAAUGAACUCGAUUUACACGUUCAGUGUUAGGCAAUGAGUUCUUACUAUUAGUGGCCACCAGCAAUUUAUGACUAUGCAGAAAAUGCAAAAUUUUAAUUUAUUACUGAUAAGUGCUGUGAAAAUGUUUGGGCAUACCUAUAUGUAUAUAUUCCUAUCCAUUCAUUCAUGGUUUCUUUCUUUCCUUCCUUUUUUCUGUACAUUGAAGCCACUUUUUGCAACUUCUAGGAAACCAUGUUCGGGUUACAAAAUGAAGGAGAUAACUGGAAGUGGCAUCUUUUCGGAUAGUGGAGAAACUGAUCCGUCAGUCUGGCAAUAUUACUCCUAAAAACAGAACAGGAAUCCGAAUGUACCAGGUACUUCUGUUUUCUGUUUUCCUUUUUUUGGCCUGAGACAAAUGUACCAGGUCCUAAUUCCUGCAUACAUAAUCUUAUAUCUCCAUGGUGAUUCCUAAUUUACUUUGACUUCCUCUGUAAAACAUUACUAGCAAGCCCUUGCUGGAAUCAGUCACAUCUCCUUUGGUGAGGAAGAGAGCGUUUCUCCGAGAAAACCAACUACUGUGCCUGAGGUUGCAAAACAACGCGAUUUGAGUGGGACGCUGGAAAGUGAGUCAGACGGGAUGUUGAAAAAGCAGAUCUCUCAUGCCAAGUCCAAAGAACUAAGUGGGCAUGACAUAUUUGCACCUCCACCUGAAAUCUUGCCCAGGACGGUGGCUUCACACUCACACACAAUGCAUCAAGACACGGGAGAACCUGCACCACGUGAUUUGCGCACAUCUGCCAAAGUUUCUA